AAGUCGUAACAAGGUUUCCGUAGGUGAACCUGCGGAAGGAUCAUUAAAGAAUAUCGAGCCUUCACAGCUCUUAUUCUCACCCCUUUGUAUAGCCAAACUUUGGUUGCUUUUAGGCAGCGCCUUUAGGGCCUGCCAGAGGACCGAACCCUAGAAGUCUCUGCCCGUCUGAGUAUUCAUAUAAUAGUUAAAA
RNAcentral lists this unclassified non-coding RNA (190 nucleotides) under plant metagenome. Its description in RNAcentral is "partial contains small subunit ribosomal RNA and internal transcribed spacer 1". The stretch from base 1 to 46 matches the Rfam family "Eukaryotic small subunit ribosomal RNA", at positions 1786 to 1831 of the family's 1831-position model. The record is from RNAcentral.